This 252-nucleotide ribosomal RNA is filed under the name uncultured bacterium. RNAcentral's name for it is "partial 16S ribosomal RNA". It matches the Rfam family "Bacterial small subunit ribosomal RNA", at positions 524 to 775 of the family's 1533-position model. The record is from RNAcentral.
UACGUAGGGUGCGAGCGUUGUCCGGAAUUACUGGGCGUAAAGAGCUCGUAGGUGGUUUGUCGCGUUGUUCGUGAAAACCGGGGGCUUAACCCUCGGCGUGCGGGCGAUACGGGCAGACUGGAGUACUGCAGGGGAGACUGGAAUUCCUGGUGUAGCGGUGGAAUGCGCAGAUAUCAGGAGGAACACCGGUGGCGAAGGCGGGUCUCUGGGCCGAUACUGACGCUGAGGAGCGAAAGCGUGGGGAGCGAACAG